Molecule: long non-coding RNA, 1175 nt
Organism: Balaenoptera acutorostrata (minke whale)
Lineage: Eukaryota; Metazoa; Chordata; Mammalia; Artiodactyla; Balaenopteridae
Exons: 5
Source: RefSeq, a predicted model, not a curated record
UUACUACCCUUGUGGGAAGAUGCGGGAGAGGUGACCUCCAGUCCAAAGCAGCUGGGGGCCAGAAGGCCAAGGAGCCCCUGGCCCAACAGUCUGGUGCCAAAUGUAGGAACUUCUCUGAUCCAGGAAUGUUCUUGGCCACCCCUCCCUGGCCAAAAACAGAAAAUCAACUCCUUCUGACCUGGGUCCUGAGCAGUCAGCAGUGUGGAAUCAAUUGUCUUUUCAUGAAUCUAUAAUAAGACAGGCACAGUUGAAACAUUUUGUGAUGUCACGUCUUCGUUCCGGGACUUGGUGCAUCUUUUGCUCCUAAUGAUCCUGGCUUGUUCUUCCUCCCACUGCUGCGAAUUAGUCUGCGGCUCCACUGUGCAGCCUGAGAGCUCUGUAGGUCAGAAGCCUGACAGGGGUCUCACUGGGCUAAAAUCAAGACGUUGGCAGGCCCGCAUUGCCUUCUGGGAGCUUCAGAGGACAGUCCCCUUCCUUGCCUUUUCCAGCUUCUGGAGGCACCCACAUUCCUUGAUUCGUGGUCCUCGUCCUUCAUCUUCAAAGCCAUCAAUGGCUGGUUGAGUCUUCCUCACAGCAUAUCCCCCUGAAACUGGCUUUCCUGCUCCCUCUUCUUGGAAGAACCUUGUGGGUCCACCCGGAUAAACAGGUUCCAGGGAUUGGAAAAUCUGUGCAGCUUUGAGGUGUUGCUCUGGAUCCAAGCAAUGAGAGGGUACGGCAGCUUUACCAAGGGCAAGAAUCGCUGUGUUGAAAACUUAAUGAAAUCUCGAAGACAAAAUGUUGAGCAAAAGAAACCAGACACCAAGGAGAAGCCCCUGGCCAGCCUGAGAGCUGGGAGGAUGUGGACGGGAUUCUGAAAGUGCCUCUCCAUUUGCUUCUUGGGAGCUGGAAAAAAAAAAGCGCAGUCAAUGCAGCGGCUGUCAAGUGCAAGCCCAUGGCUGGGUGUGGGCCGUGUGCACCUCGACCGGCCAGGAGGCUGAGUGGAGGGUGACGGACAAGUCCCACGCCCACCCUGGGCGCCGGCCUGGCCCCCGCAGCACCUGAGCAGGGCCAGAGCAUCACAGAGCCUCUCUGAAGAGCAGAGGCCCAGGCAGAAGGAAACAGAAGGUUCUUAGAAGGAAGGCAAGCCUUCCUGUCCUCUGAGGCUGCUGCUCCCAGCAGGCCUUCCCCACUCCCGG